This 65-nucleotide transfer RNA is filed under the name Tambocerus sp. PY-2015. RNAcentral's name for it is "tRNA-Leu". The record is from RNAcentral. RNAcentral also lists the same sequence under 1 other name. Lineage: Eukaryota; Metazoa; Arthropoda; Insecta; Hemiptera; Cicadellidae.
UUUAGUGUGGCAGAUUAGUGCAAUGAAUUUAAGAUUCAUAUAUAAAUAUUAAUAUUUUACUAGAA